AGAGUUUGAUCCUGGCUCAGAUUGAACGCUGGCGGCAUGCCUUACACAUGCAAGUCGAACGGCAGCGCGGGGCAACCUGGCGGCGAGUGGCGAACGGGUGAGUAAUAUAUCGGAACGUACCCUGGAGUGGGGGAUAACGUAGCGAAAGUUACGCUAAUACCGCAUACGAUCUAAGGAUGAAAGUGGGGGAUCGCAAGACCUCAUGCUCCUGGAGCGGCCGAUAUCUGAUUAGCUAGUUGGUAGGGUAAAAGCCUACCAAGGCAUCGAUCAGUAGCUGGUCUGAGAGGACGACCAGCCACACUGGAACUGAGACACGGUCCAGACUCCUACGGGAGGCAGCAGUGGGGAAUUUUGGACAAUGGGCGCAAGCCUGAUCCAGCAAUGCCGCGUGAGUGAAGAAGGCCUUCGGGUUGUAAAGCUCUUUUGUCAGGGAAGAAACGGCCUGUUCUAAUACAGUGGGCUAAUGACGGUACCUGAAGAAUAAGCACCGGCUAACUACGUGCCAGCAGCCGCGGUAAUACGUAGGGUGCAAGCGUUAAUCGGAAUUACUGGGCGUAAAGCGUGCGCAGGCGGUUUUGUAAGUCUGUCGUGAAAUCCCCGGGCUCAACCUGGGAAUGGCGAUGGAGACUGCAAGGCUAGAGUUUGGCAGAGGGGGGUAGAAUUCCACGUGUAGCAGUGAAAUGCGUAGAUAUGUGGAGGAACACCGAUGGCGAAGGCAGCCCCCUGGGUCAAAACUGACGCUCAUGCACGAAAGCGUGGGGAGCAAACAGGAUUAGAUACCCUGGUAGUCCACGCCCUAAACGAUGUCUACUAGUUGUCGGGUCUUAAUUGACUUGGUAACGCAGCUAACGCGUGAAGUAGACCGCCUGGGGAGUACGGUCGCAAGAUUAAAACUCAAAGGAAUUGACGG
Molecule: ribosomal RNA, 910 nt
Filed under: uncultured bacterium
Lineage: Bacteria
Description: bacterial SSU rRNA
Rfam family: Bacterial small subunit ribosomal RNA
Source: RNAcentral